CAUAAAUGAUUUUUGGAUUCGGAGCGAGUGGCGAACUGGUGAGUAACACGUGGGUAACCUGCCCCGAAGCGGGGGAUAACAUUUGGAAACAAGUGCUAAUACCGCAUAAUUAGUUGGAACCGCAUGGUUCCAACUUGAAAGAUGGCUCUGCUAUCACUUCGGGAUGGACCCGCGCCGUAUUAGUUAGUUGGUGAGAUAAAAGCCCACCAAGACGAUGAUACGUAGCCGACCUGAGAGGGUAAUCGGCCACAUUGGGACUGAAACACGGCCCAAACUCCUACGGGAGGCAGCAGUAGGGAAUCUUCCACAAUGGACGAAAGUCUGAUGGAGCAACGCCGCGUGAGUGAUGAAGGUUUUCGGAUCGUAAAACUCUGUUGUUAAAGAAGAACAAGUGUUAGAGUAACUGUUAACACUUUGACGGUAUUUAACCAGAAAGCCACG
Molecule: ribosomal RNA, 441 nt
Filed under: Apilactobacillus kunkeei
Lineage: Bacteria; Bacillati; Bacillota; Bacilli; Lactobacillales; Lactobacillaceae
Description: bacterial SSU rRNA
Rfam family: Bacterial small subunit ribosomal RNA
Source: RNAcentral